This is a long non-coding RNA of Oryzias melastigma (Indian medaka), 627 nucleotides long. RefSeq lists it as uncharacterized. The transcript is spliced from 2 exons. Lineage: Eukaryota; Metazoa; Chordata; Actinopteri; Beloniformes; Adrianichthyidae. The record is from RefSeq and is a predicted model, not a curated record.
UCUUGCUUCUGUGUUGCGACAGAUCCCUGUUACAUCACAGCAAAGCCGGAAAGAUCUGUCCUGAUAGACACUGAAUCAUCUGAUCUGCCUUCACUCAACACGAUGAGUCUAAGGUCGCGAUGAUGAGUCGCUUUCAUGAUCUGUACAUGCAAAGUGGAGGUCGCCUUAUCCUAACAGCUGCUGGCACAAAUGCAGGUGCACCGAUAUGGAGCCAACUGCUGGCAAGUAAAUCAAACAGCUCGCCUCGCCGCCCAUUUUGACGGAGAGACGAUUAAAUAAUGGCAGACAGAAACUGGAUGCUGUGGGAAGAGUCCAGGCCCAGCAAACACCCCAGAGGACUGUGGACAUUGAGCCUGCCCACCUCAACCCCAUUCUCCUCCUGGCUCUUCGAUUGGCGCGGUCCUGCCUAACCCUUAUCAGCGUCCGGGCUCUGGGUCUCUUCACCUGGCUCCCCCAGCUUCCUGCGCCUCGUCUCCUCCAAAACUUGAAUGGGGGGGUCUCUUCACCUGGCCCAAGGUCUUCAUUAGCAAGCAAGAUUUCUCCAGCCCAGAGCCCAACCGCCAAAAGACUUUUAUUUUCAUCCUAAAUGUUUCACAAAUAUCUUCACAAUUAAAUCUUUCAAUUCUA